RNAcentral lists this ribosomal RNA (253 nucleotides) under uncultured bacterium. Its description in RNAcentral is "partial 16S ribosomal RNA". It matches the Rfam family "Bacterial small subunit ribosomal RNA", at positions 524 to 776 of the family's 1533-position model. The record is from RNAcentral.
UACGUAGGUGGCAAGCGUUGUCCGGAUUUACUGGGCGUAAAGAGCGCGCAGGCGGUCGGAUCAGUCGAAUGUGAAAGCCCCCGGCUCAACUGGGGAGGGUCAUUCGAUACUGUCCGACUCGAAGGCAGGAGAGGGAAGCGGAAUUCCCGGUGUAGUGGUGAAAUGCGUAGAUAUCGGGAGGAACACCGGUGGCGAAGGCGGCGACCUGGGUAGAUACUGACGCUGAGGCGCGAAAGCGUGGGGAGCAAACAGG